AAUAUAGGAGAGAAAAUAGGUUUUUUAUAUUAAAAGGGAAAUCGGUGCAAAUCCGAUACAGCCACCGCUACUGUGAGUGGGUACGAAAUCAAUAAUAAGCCACUGGGUUAACUGGGAAGGCAUUGAGAGUAGGAUGAUCCACAAGUCAGGAGACCUGCCUAUUUUCUACGAGAAGU
RNAcentral lists this non-coding RNA (176 nucleotides) under Caloranaerobacter azorensis. Lineage: Bacteria; Bacillati; Bacillota; Tissierellia; Tissierellales; Thermohalobacteraceae. The record is from RNAcentral.